RNAcentral lists this long non-coding RNA (798 nucleotides) under Capsicum annuum. Its description in RNAcentral is "long non-coding RNA (CANN_LNC022064)". The record is from RNAcentral. Lineage: Eukaryota; Viridiplantae; Streptophyta; Magnoliopsida; Solanales; Solanaceae.
GUAUCAAGACCAGGAUUGAGACAAAAAACACAUGUAACAGGAUCAAUACCAAAUUUGCUAAGAUAUUCACUAGUAGGCAGUUUUUUCCCCAAGGCCCUCCACACAAGAAAACAGCAUUUAAAGGGGAUAUGCUUAUUCCAGGUAUAUUUAUUCACCAUUGUAUGAUCUCUAUGUUCCCUCAUUCUAGAAGGAUGAAACUUUCACAUUAUUUGACCUUGCUCCACCAGGUCUAAGAUAGUGUAGAGGUCUUAGACCUAUCCAAUUGUCCCACCAAAAAUAACAAUUACCAGAUGUGAGUCUCCACAAAAUGUGUUUUUUUUACUUUAUUUUUUAAUUUUUAUGAUAUUUUUCCACACCAGAGAUUGGCCAUUGCACUAUUUCCUGGCCACUGGGUUAACUCUUUGAUAGUAUUUGGCUUUCAAAAACUUACCCCAAAGAGAUUCCUGUGUUCUUAGACAACACCAUUAUUUGAUUUUCAUAGUCUACAAGUAUCAACCAGAUGCCUUAUCCCAACACUCUCUUCAUUGCAGGGAAGGCAUAAUUUUCUCUAGGCAGCCUAAUGGAAUUUCUUCCUAUUAUCUUUCCAUCCCCAAAAGAAGUUAACAAAUAAGCUAGAGAGUUGCUUCAAGGUAGUUUUAGCAGGUGUACAAGCAGAGAAAAUAUGCACUGGGAUUGAUUGUAAAACAUGUUUUAUCAAGAUUGCUCUUUCACCAUAGCUGAGAAGUAUUGAUUGCCAACUAGUAAUCCUAGAGACAAUUUUGCUAACCAUACCACAAUUAUGACUGAUUCUCUACCUCC